CACAAAAAGGAGAGGUUUGUUUGAGGAAAGUCAAGUUGUACUAACUGGCUUUCACUGGGAAGAUGAAAGGAAUGACUGGACUUCCUGUUACUCUCUUGUUGUUAUGAACUGCACUGUGAAUGACAGAACUACAACAUGGAGAUGGACUAUUUAUAGUCUAUUGCGUUGAGAGUCAAUCUAAAGACCUGUUUUCCCAGGAAAAUUCCAAAUAUAACCAAGUUACAAUUCAGCACCCAGAAACUGUGUCUCUCAAGGGAACAGUCAACUGACAGCAGGAGGAACAGACAAUUCUCCAAUCAGUUGAGGACUCUCCAUGAAGACUGUAGCCCACUCACAAGAAUAAAAUCCCCCACAUUUGAAGUUACAAUAAUUUUUUUAAUAAAAAGUCAUCGACCUCAGACUGACAGGAAUGCAGAAGUUACACAGGCUCCUGUGCUGAAUAUGAAGAGACUUGGGCCCUAGAUCAGAGGAUGGAAUUUACAGCUAAAGUGCUUUUCAGCUAACAAGUUGCAGACGCUCCAUGAUGCUGACUUGAUUUCCCUGGGCAGAUGACCUCAUCAAUGUGUCCUGGAACCCCAUCUCCCCAGAGCCUUGCCCUAUUAGGGAAAGAUAAAAACAGGCUGGAGGUAUGGGUCGACCUGUCAAUGCCCAUGUCCAGUGGAGAAGCAAUUGCAGAAGUCAGACCUCCCACCUUCUGCACCCCAUAAAGAUCUUUGGUCCAUACUCCCAGAGGGAUGAAGAACAGGGACCCUUCAGUUGAGGGGAGGGUAUAUGGAAUUCUGGUGUUGGGAACUGCAUGGAAUUGUACUCCUCUUAUCC
This is a long non-coding RNA of Erinaceus europaeus (western European hedgehog), 819 nucleotides long. RefSeq lists it as uncharacterized. The record is from RefSeq and is a predicted model, not a curated record. NCBI's taxonomy places the organism in Eukaryota, Metazoa, Chordata, Mammalia, Eulipotyphla, Erinaceidae. The transcript has 6 exons.